This 133-nucleotide ribosomal RNA is filed under the name uncultured bacterium. RNAcentral's name for it is "partial 16S ribosomal RNA". The record is from RNAcentral.
CGGAGUUAGCCGGUGCUUAUUCCUGAGGUACCGUCAGAAUCCUUCCCUCAGAAAAGGAUUUUACGAUCUUUCGACCUUCAUCAUCCACGCGGUAUUGCUUCGUCAGGGUUUCCCCCAUUGCGAAAGAUUCCUU